CUCCUGGGUGGGUGGGGAAGGACGGAGUUCAUAUCAGACAUCUUCCCUGUCCCGCCCAG
This is a microRNA precursor of Cricetulus griseus (Chinese hamster), 59 nucleotides long. The record is from Ensembl. Lineage: Eukaryota; Metazoa; Chordata; Mammalia; Rodentia; Cricetidae.